GACAGAAAAGGGGGGAAAGGGAUGAGGAGGGUUUUAAACAUUGGCUGCCACCUUAAUUGCAGCCUAGCAAUGAAUAGCUGCAGGCUUUCUUGGACAGCUCCUCCGUGAAUGUCACACACAAAUCCAUCUGACACCUGGGGUCAGAAGUAUUCUUCCAUGCUUUUUGUUAAGUCAUCUUUCCCUCUCUAGUGCCAAAGGGUCUGGCUAAAUUGAAUUGCAUUUAAAUGAGGUGAACGUGUGAUGGAUCAUCCGAGUGCUGCUGUUUCCCUCCAAGUUUUGUGACAAAUCUCUCUAAUGCAAACACCGUGUCUCAUACCUUGAACUCACUGCUGCAAUUAAAUGCUGAUCCUUUAAUCCUUGUCUGGAAAAACAAUAUAGUAAUAGCAGUCCUGCAUGUUUGCACAGGAAAGGAGAGGUGUGCACGCAGCAGAUGCUGCCAAGAGCUCUGGUAAUUCAGUUUGCAGGGGUCACAGUCACAUUGGAGACACCAGCAGUGACAUUAGCACGUCCAGACCUUCAGUGCAAGCUCUCCAGGAAUUAGAGCAUGUACUGUGAUGCCUUCGCUGCUGUGUCAGCUGAGCUGUGACACCACCACAGCUUUUAUCAGCUUAUUGUACAAACUAAAUGCAAAUACAAUGAGCCAGAGAAGGGUGGGUGCUGACCAAUCACUGAAUUCCCCCUAAAACUGGGUUUUGUCUGAAUGAUCAGCAAGAUAUAAUGACUGACACUGGAAUGAGUCUGCAGGGCACACAGCUCGGUGAUUAGUCAGUUCUCAUUACCUCUUCCUCCAAUUAACGUCAGCAAAUCAGUGCUCUUGAAUCAACGAGGACCUCAGGAGAAACUAAGCUUCCCCAAAAUGCUGCCAGAUGUCAGCAGAAGCUCCAAUCCCCUCGCCUUGAUGGUUCAGUACUUUUUACACACAUAAUUAACUGUUAGCACCGUCCUGUUUCUGUCACUCCAGCCCUUCACCCGUGGUGUGCUGAUAAAUGCUGUUAGUUUUGCUGUGAUGGAGGAGUCUGUGCCCAGCUCUGCUGCCUCAUGCUCCUGCACUUCAUCUCAUUUCCAUGCUCAUCCCAGCCAAGCAGGAACCCAGCCUGAGAUCCCUUUUGCUACAGCUUCGUCACCCCAUUUGGAUCUUUCUCCUUGUUGUCUUUGCAGUUUCCCUUCAGCAGGUGACGGCAUUUGGCUUUCAUGGUCAGUCUCUGGAAGUGGAAUAUGAGUUAAUUUUCCCCAUUCUAUCCAAAAUACUGUAGGGAAUAUUUUUAUAUAUUUUUGGUAUCUGCAGGUUGUGGAGGAAGCUCACUUGUCACAGUGCCCUUCAUUACAAAGGUGUUAUUUUUUUCCUCUUUUUUUUCCCUCUGACUUGUCAGGAAUAAUUAAAUGCUGUGGUUGUUUUGGCCUCCCUUCAAUGGGCAUUUACCCAACUCAUAAAUACAAGAGUAGCUCCCCUGAACUCUGUUUCACUCAGGUAGAGUUGUGAAGGUUUGCUCAGCGAUGCUCUGAGGAAAAUGAGGAACCCAGAUGGGCUUGUGUUUGGGAGGAUCCCAAGUUGGUUGCUCUCUAAAACCCAAAUAGUGUUGCUCUGCUCAAUUAAGAAUUGCUUAUUAAUGUUUAAAAUACAUUCAUCCCCAGGUAUUUUCACGGUCCUUUUUGCUCCCAAAUUGGCAAGGCCAGUGCUGCUGUCCAAAAUAAAUGAAGUGUGUGAAGACAGUUUAAAGGCAUUGAGGAAUUUCAGACUUUUUGCAUCUCACUCGCUUUCACCUAAUUUGUUAAUGGGUGUGAACUAAAACAGAAGCUUGCAGAAGGAUGCACGGUGAGUUUGUGACAUUGCUGGGAAUGUUUGGAUCUCCUGGGGCACCAGAGAACAGGAUGUCUCCUCAGACCUAAGGAUUUGUGAAUGUUUCCAAGUCUCCAACCACCCUUGGGACACAGGUGUGUGUCACCACCAGGAGUGGCAAACUGGGGACCUUGGUGUGACAUCGCUCUAGACAGACGGACGCAUCCCUUGUGAAGCUUUAGACAAAAUACUUUCAUAUGAAGCUACUCUGUGCUGGCAAGAGCAGCUGGGAUGGUUCCUGUGCUCUUUGAUUUAUCCAGACAGGCUACCAGGGUGUUUGCUGCACGUUUCCUUAGAAGUUUGUCACAGCCUGACACACGCUGUUCCCGUGAUGCCUCGCACAGCUCAAUCAGUGUCCUUCCCUGGCUGGAGGAAAACGUGCUGAGCCAGCCUUGCAAGCUGCUCCAGCCAUGGGACACCUGAUCCUCAGGCUGAAAGAGCACGAGGUGAACGACAGGUGCUGAGGAGGGACACGUUGUGUUGGUGUUGCAAAGGUUUUUCUUUGCAAAGGGAAACAUCUCCAUUCCAUAGGUAUUGAUGAAGAAGAGUAUUAAUUAAAACCUGCCCUAGAUUAAUGUAGAACAGCAUAAAUAACGAGCGGGUGCUGUGAAUGAUGAACGGGAGAAAAGGAUUUGGACUGUCACCGUUCCACCACACAGGGAGUGUUUUACAGGAGACAAAGGUGUUUACUGUGUCAUUUCUGCAUUUGCUUUAUAUAACAAUAACCAUUAUGUGCCCGCUCUUAAAAAAUCAUCUUCUGCUAAGAUGCUACCAAGAAAGAAGACGACAAUUUGGAACUUGCCUUGAAAUAGCACUCUUAUGGGAAUUCAAAGCGUGGUUAUUAUUGUGCUGCUUGGAAAGCUGCUUUUCUGUCCAGCUUCCCUGUGAUCCCUUUAGCUCUAUCCGAUACCAAAGGCUUGAGAUCUCCAGAUUAGAAAUUAAAUUCCACCUCUGUGGCCCAGACCUGAUGACCUGCUGGAGUCACAGCAAAUAGGUUUUACUUUACAGUGAGUGCUUCCAGCUAAAGCUGUUGCUUUUUGGACAAAGUCAAACUUAUUUGGAAAAAGAUAAUUAAAGGCAUGCAAUGCAGGUGUAGGAAUAAUAAUUGACUUGAAAUUGAGUAGGGAUUAUCCAGAGUGAUGGCAGGCCCUGAUCUUGCAGGGAUUUAGGUGCUUGUUUUGUUCUGCUGGCAUGUGUGAGUACACAGGACAGUCGGGUGGGCUCUGUCCUGGGGGAUUUAGGGGAGGCUGUGGCAUGGCCAGGAGUUGUGCAGCUGGGACAGCUGGGUGGGAUGCAGCACUUAGAGCAUCAGGCAGCAAUUCCUGCUGCUGAGCUGGGUAUAAACCACAGCAUUUCAGGGGUGGACAGGUGUGCUUUGGGUGUCUGGUACAGGAACAGCAGCCUGGGGAGGGCAGGAGAGGGAUUUUCCCAUUGAGAUUUCUGUUUUAUUUUGCAAAUGUAAAAACUGGCAGUGAGUGGUGUCAGGCCUGUGUUGGGAGGUGGGGACUGAAGAGCCUCAAGGGAAACUGGCAGAAAUCAUGAUUUAAGUGUGAUCACUGUGAAGUUGUCAGUCACUGAGAUGGGCACUCAGCUAUCUGGGGGCCUCUAAUUGUGCUGCUCAUAGUUGGUCAUAUUUUGAAUGUGAUAAGAUUGAACAAUACAGUUUUAAACCAAAUUUUGGACUUUUCUGUGCUCUGUUAAAAUGAUGAAAUCUAGAAAUGGAAAGUGAAUGUAGUUUAUAAAUAUUU
Cyanistes caeruleus (blue tit) is the source of this 3585-nucleotide non-coding RNA. Lineage: Eukaryota; Metazoa; Chordata; Aves; Passeriformes; Paridae. The record is from RefSeq and is a predicted model, not a curated record.